This 253-nucleotide ribosomal RNA is filed under the name uncultured bacterium. Its description in RNAcentral is "partial 16S ribosomal RNA". It matches the Rfam family "Bacterial small subunit ribosomal RNA", at positions 524 to 776 of the family's 1533-position model. The record is from RNAcentral.
UACGUAGGUGGCAAGCGUUGUCCGGAUUUACUGGGCGUAAAGAGCGCGCAGGCGGUCAUUCAAGUCGAGUGUGAAAGCCCCCGGCUCAACUGGGGAGGGUCACUCGAUACUGUUUGACUCGAAGGCGGGAGAGGGAAGUGGAAUUCCCGGUGUAGUGGUGAAAUGCGUAGAUAUCGGGAGGAACACCAGUGGCGAAGGCGACUUCCUGGCCCGUUCUCGACGCUGAGGCGCGAAAGCUAGGGGAGCAAACGGG